GUCGAGAAUCUUCCGCAAUGGACGCAAGUCUGACGGAGCGACGCCGCGUGCGGGAUGAAGGUCUUUGGAUUGUAAACCGCUGUCACGCGUUAUGAAUGCGCGGCGGCUAACACCUGCCGCGUUGACAAAGGCGCGAGAGGAAGCCACGGCUAACUCUGUGCCAGCAGCCGCGGUAAUACAGAGGUGGCAAGCGUUGCUCGGUAUCACUGGGCUUAAAGGGCGCGUAGGCGGCGUGGUACGGCUCGGGUGAAAUCCCUCGGCCCAACCGAGGAAUUGCCCGGGCGACGGCCAUGCUCGACGGCAUCAGGGGACAGUGGAACUCCCGGUGGAGCGGUGAAAUGCGUAGAUAUCGGGAGGAACGCCGGUGGCGAAAGCGACUGUCUGGGGUGCUUGUGACGCUGAGGCGCGAAAGCUAGGGGAUCAAACGGGAUUAGAUACCCGAGUAGUCC
This 449-nucleotide ribosomal RNA is filed under the name uncultured bacterium. RNAcentral's name for it is "bacterial SSU rRNA". It matches the Rfam family "Bacterial small subunit ribosomal RNA", at positions 354 to 796 of the family's 1533-position model. The record is from RNAcentral.